GGGAUAUUGCUAGUGCAGUUUUUUAAAGUAUUUUUUAAUACUAGGCAUUUUUUAGUUAUUUGUUAAUUUAGUGAUUUGGAUUAGUCAUUCAACUUACCUAAUUGAUAUGUGAAAACUUUUUGUAUGUCUUUUCUAGUAGUCUUUACUGAAUUUCUAAAAUUAUGACUUUCUUGAGCAAUUUGUCAUUUUAAUUAUUUUGGUAAAGUACAUUUGUAAGUACUUCUAGGAUAUAUGGAAGUAGAAAGUACACUUGGCAAUUGGACUGUUAAUUGCAAUCCCCUUAGGUCAUGGUUGUUUUUGUUCUUACUGGUAUUUUAGUAAUCUUUUAGAAGAAAGAUGUUUUACCAAAUUUGGUGACAGGUUUAAUAAAAUUUCUUUUUGUAUAGUUGAAAAACUUGUCCUUAUAAUUAUUAAGGUUAAAAUUAACAUAUUCCAAAAUUGAACAUUAUUCCAUCCCAUGAAUGAAGUAAAUUAUAUUUUAGUAUAUACUCCUUGAUUAUAGUUGUUAUAAUUUCAUUUGGAAUUUCUGAAAUGAUUCCUAAAAAAACAGCUUUAUACUUGUUCUGUUGUCAGAGGUUUUUAAUGUUUUACUGGCUCUUUGAAACCAUUUUGAGUAUUUCUGGCACAGGCUAGAAACAAGUAAUAUUUUUCUUUAAUUAUUUUGAAAUGUUGGCUUAAAAAGGUGUUGAAAUAAUAGCAGGUGUGUUUUUUUUUUUUUAAAAAAGUUAUUUAUCUUUUGUCCAAAAUCAACAGCAUUUAUGCAAGCAUGUGUUUUUUGAAACCCCUUAUUCUAUUUCCUUGUUCUUUGUGUUUGUCUUUAUGCCAGUAUCACACUGUUUUGAUAAUUGUAGCUUUGUAGUUAACAUUUUGAAAUUGAGAACUGUGACUCUUCCAGCUUUGUUCUUUUUCAGGUUUGUUUUGCUCGUUUCAGUCCUUUGAAACUCUGUAUGAGUUUUAGGAUUUUUUUUUAAAAUUUUUGCAAAAAAUGUCAUGGGAAGUUUACUUAGGGAUUAAGUCUGCACAUUGCUAUGAGUAGUAUUGACAUAAACAAUACUAACUCUUCCAGUCCAUGAACAUGGGAUGUCUUUUUAUUUAUGUCGUUUAUUUCUUUCAGAAAUGAUUUGUAAAUUUCAUUGUACAAAAAAUUUUCUUUGAUCUUACUGGUUAAGUUACUUUCCAAGUAUUGUAUUUUUAAAAUGCUAUUGCAAGUGGAAUAGUUCUUUGAACUUCCUUUGUGAAUUGUUCAUUGCUGUUUUUGCAUGCUGAAUUUGUAGCCAGGUAUUUCGUGGAAUUUAUUAGUUCUAAGAUUUUUAUUUUAUGCUCCCAAGGAAAAUUUUAGCCCGUAAUAUUUUUUUUUUGAGACAUAGUCUCACUGUUGCCCAGGCUGGAGUGCAGUGGCACUAUCUCCCAGGUUCGAACAAUUCUCCUGCCUCAGCCUCCCGAGUAGCUGGGAUUACACGUGCCUGCCACCACGCCUGGCUAAUUUUUGUAUUUUUAGUAGAGAUGGGGUUUCAUCAUGUUGGCCAGGCUGGUCUCGAACUCCUGAGCUCAAGUGAUUCUCCUCCCUUGGCCUCCAAAAGUGCUGCAAUUACAGGCGUGAGUCACUGUGCCCGACCAGCCUAUAAAAUUUUAGUGGAUGCCAAGAGAGAUACUUUUACUUCUUUUCUGACUUGGGUGUUAUUUCUUUCCUUUUGUUACUUGAUUGCUGUGGCAAGGAUUUGUAAGACUAUGUUGAAAAGAAGUGCCAAAAGCAGGCAUCCUUGCUUUGUAACUGAUACUAGAGGAAAUCCUUUUAAUAUUUAACCUUUGAGAAUAAUGUUUGUUUUGAGUUUUUCAUUUAUAGCUUUUACUAUGGUGAUGUGAUUUCAUUCUAUUCCUAAUUUGAUGAAUGUUGAAUUUUUUGUUCCUUAGUCUUUGUCUUGCUUUAGUAAGAGGGUAAUGCUGGCCCCAUAAAACGUGUUGGGGAGUGUUUCCUCCUUGAAUUCUUAGAAAAGUUUGAAAACACUUAUUUGUUAUUUAAGUAUUUCUUUCAUGGAAGAUUUUUUUUUCUUUUUUUUUUUUUUGGCGAUGGAGUCAUGCUCUGUCACCCAGGCUGGAGUGCAGUGGCGCGAUCUCGGCUCACUGCAAGCUCCACCUCCUGGGUUCACGCCAUUCUCCUGCCUCAGCCUCCCGCAUAGCUGGGACUACAGGCUCCUGCCACCAGACCCGGCUAAUUUUUUGUAUAUUAAGUAGAGACGGGGUUUCACCGUGUUAGCCAGGAUGGUCUCGAUCUCCUGACCUUGUGAUCCGCCCGCCUCAGCCUCCCAAAGUGCUGGGAUUACAGGCGUGAGCCACUGCGCCUGGCUGGAAGAUUUUUCAUUAAUAAUUCAAUACUGUUAAUAGUUUUGUGUGUGUGGUUUUGUUUUGGUGGUCUUUAGUUUCCUAGGUUUGUAGGAAUUUGUACAUUUCAUCUAGAUUAUCUAAUUUGUUAACAUUCACUUGCUUAUAGUAAGUACUCUUAAAAUCUCUUAGUUCUGUAGACUUUAUGUUUCUGAUGGUAGCAAUUUGAGUCUGCCCUCUUUUUUUCUAGUCCACUUAGCUGAAGGUUUGUCAGUUUUCUUGAUUUUUGUUUAUGAAGAACCAAGUGGUUAUUUUGUGUUCAUUUUCUGUUGUAUUCAUCUCUGUAUCAUUCUUUAUGUCCUUCCUUUUCCUCUUUGUGUUUACUUUGCUUGUGUAGUUCUUUAAUUUGUACAGUUGGUUGAUUUGAAAUUUUUUUUCAUGUUACAUUUAUAGGUGUAAGAUUCAUAAGAAAGCAUGCUUUAUUUUCAUUUUCAUUCAUUCCCACAUAUUUUCUAAUUUUCUUUAUAACCUCUUGGUGUACUAGUUGUUUGUGUUUUCUCAUGUCCACAAAUGUGUGACUUUUCCAAGGCUUUCCUUCUGUUACUGAUUUCUAAAUUCAUUGUCUUGCUGUGGUCAGAGAAGAGGCUUUUUCUGUCUGUUUUUUCAAAAUUUAUUGAGACUGAGUUUGUGAAUUAACUACAUUUUUUGUGAAAAAUAUUUCAUGCACUUGAAGGGGAGUGUGCAUUUUGUUGUUCAGAGAUUGUUGUGUGCAUAUCUGUUAGAUAUAAUUGAUUUAUUGUGAUGUUGCACACUUCUGUUUUCUCUUUUUUUUUUGUGGGGUGGGGGAUGAGACAGAGUCUGGCUCUAUCCCCCAGGCUGGAGUGCAGUGGCGUGAUCUCAGCUCACUGCAACCUCUGCCUCCCAGGUUCAAGUGAUUCUCCUGCCUCAGCCUCCCAAGUGGCUGGGAUUACAGGCGCCUGCCACCACACCCAGUUAAUUUUUGUAUUUUUAGUAGAGACAGGGUUUUGCCGUGUUGGCCAGGCUGGUCUCAAACUCCUGACUUUGUGAUCCACCUGCCUCGGCCUUCCAAAGUGCUGGGAUUACAGGCGUGAGCCACCACACCUGGCCCACAUCUCUAUUUUCUUACUUGUUUUCUGGUUAUUCUACCCAUCAUUGAGAGUAGGUUCUUGAAGUCUACAUUUCUUAGUGAGGAAAUGUCUAUUUCUCCCUUCUUUUAUGUCAGUUUUUGUUUCAUAUAUUUUGAUGGUUUAUUAGGAUCAUAAAUAUUGCUCAUCUUUAUCUUGUAAUUUUUAUUAAUGUAUAAUGUACAUUUUUGUUUGUAACAUUUUGGAUUGAAAGUCUGUUUUGUCUGACUUUAGCAGUCUAAAAAUAACUGCUUCUGUAACACCUUCACUCCUACCCCUUUCAGUUGAUUACAAAAUUAUAUGUUUAACAUAUUGUGUAUAAAUAUAUAUAUAUAUAUAUAUAUAUAUAUAUUUGAGAUGGAGUCCUCUCUGUCACCCAGGCUGGAGUACAGUGGUGUUAUCUCGGCUCACUGCAAGAUCCGCCUCCAGGGUUCACGCCAUUCUCCUGCCUCAGCCUCCCGAGUAGCUGGGACUACAGGUGCCCACCACCACGCCUGGCUAAUUUUUUUGUAUUUUUAGUAGAGACAGGGUUUCACCUUUUUAGCCAGGAUGGUCUCGAUAUCCUGACCUCGUGAUCCGCCCACCUCGGCCUCCCAAAGUGCUGGGAUUACAGGCUUGAGCCACCACACCUGGCCCAAAAUAUAUUUUUUAAAAUUUAUUUUUUGUUAAAUUUUUUAGAAGAUAACUUGUAGAGUUAUAAUCAAAGUUCUACAAUAAUAUUUACUGGUUUCUUGCCUAAUGUGUGGUUUUAUAAUUGAUCAAUUUCAAGUCAUGUAGAAUCUAAAAAAGGCAACAGGCUGGGCAUAGUAGCUCACGCCUGUAAUACCCAGCACUUUGGGAGGCUAAGGAAGGAGAAUUGCUGGUUUGAGACCAGCCUGUGCAACAUAGCAAGAGGCUGUCUCUACAAAACAAAUUUUAACAACAAAAAAUAGCUGGGUAUGGUGGCAUAUUCCUGUAGUCCCAGAUACUCAGGAAGAUGAGAUGCAAGGGUCUCUUGUUCCCUGAAGGUUGAGGCUACAGUGAGCCAUGAUGAUGCCACUGCAUUUUAGCCUGUGCAACAGAAUCAGAGCCUGUUUCGUAAUGAAAAACAAGUGGAGGGACAGUACACCAUUAUUAACCUCUCAUAAUUGCUCAACUAUUUACCUUUAACCACAUCUUUAUUUCUUUAUAGGGCUUCCAUUUACUGUUUAUUUCAACCUUCAGGAGUCUUUUCAGUGUUUCUGUUUGGUGGGGGAGUAGAUGUAAUGUAAACAAACUCCUGUUGUUUGUACAUCUGGGAACGUAUCAAUUUCUCCCUUACUUUUUAAUUAACAGUUUUGUUGGAUAUUAGAUUCUUAGUUGAGUAUUUUUUUUUUUUUUUUAGCACAUUGAAUGUGUCAGUCCACUACCUUCUGGCCUUACGAGAAAUUAACUGAUAAUCCCUGUUAUAUCAUUUUUCUAUUGUUGCUUUCAGAAUUCUUUCUCUUUUGCUCUUCAUAGUUGAAAGAUAAUGUGUCGCAUUGUGGGUCUUUUGAGUUCAUCUUGCUUGGAGUUUGUUGAGGUUCUUAGAUGUUAGUAUUCAUGUCUUUCAUCAAAUUUGAGAAGUUUCCAUCUAGAAUUUCUUCAGAUAUUCUUUCUAUUGCAUGCUUUCUCUUUUUUGGGAAUCCUGCACUGUUUGUAUUGGUUAGCUUGGGUGGGGGACCGGAAUCUGUUUAGACUCUUACCUUUCUUCAAUAUUUUUUCUUUUUGUUCCUCAGAAUUGAUAAAAUUCUGAAGUUUGCUGAUCUUUUUUUGUUGCCUGCCGAGAUAAUGCGUUUGAAUCCCUCUAGAAAAUUUUUCAUUUCAGUUAAUUGAAUGUUUCAUGUUCCAGAAUUUCAUUUGGGGUUCCUUUUUGAAAUUUUUUUUAUUUUUGAUAAUUGAUCCUUCCAUUUUGCUCAUGCAUCAUUUUCUUAACCUUCUCCAUCACUUCCUUUAGUUCUUUGAGCAACUUUAAGACAGUUGUUUUAAAAGCUGCUUACCUGUCUUACCAUCUUUGAGAUUAGAAGUGGUAAACUGAUGAGAGCACAGCCUCUCAAUGUUUGUAUAACAGAGUGGUGUGUUUUGUUUUUUGUUUAUGCCUACCCUCACUCCUUCUGCAAGCUGUAUGUAAGUUGUCCCAGAAAUGUGUACAGCUACCUUGCGUGAGGCUGUAGGAGUUAGGGAUAAGUAAUUUGUACUUUGCUAAGAGUUGAUGUUGAGUGAAAUUAACCUCAAAAAACCUGAAUUUAGAGGUUAAUACAAUCCUCCAGAGUUCCAAACCAGUUAUAUCAUACCGAUUAUUCUGGUGUAUUUAUUAUCUCAGGGGAGAAAGAGUUCUGGUGCAUCCUGCUCUGCCAUACUCCCAGAAUCCUCAGCUCACCAGUUUUUUAGUUUGUUUUGUUUUGUUUUGUUUUUGUUUGGAUACAAUUUCUCAUUCUGUCUCCCAGGCUGUAGUGCAGUGGCACUAUCAUAGCUCACUGCAGCCUCCACUUUUUGGGCCCAAGGGACCCUCUUGCCUCAGCCUUCUGAGUAGCUGGGACUAUGGACAUGCCUGAAUAAUCUCUUUUUUAAAGAGAUGGGGUCUUACUACAUUGCAUAGCCUCAUCUUGGACUCCUGGACUCAAGCAAUCCCCCAGUGUCAGCCUCACAACGUCCUGGGAUUCUAUGCGUGAGUCACUGUGCCCAGCUUGUUUUACAGUAGUGAAAUGAAUCUGCCAAUUUAUACUUUCUGAUUAUCAAUUAAAGUUGUGUUCUAUAAUUUUGUUACUUUUCGGUUGUGAUAGUUUAUGCAUCACAUAAAAUUUGCCAUAUUAACCAGAUUUAAUUGUAGUACUCAUUAGCAUUAAAUGCACUCACAGUGUUGUGUAACUAUCACCAUUUUCAAAACUUUUGUCAUCUUAAUUGGAAACUCUAUACCUGUUACUCUAAUCCCUAGUCCCUUGUCUCCCCAAUCAUGUUUUCUGCAUUUGAUUUUGCCUGUUGUAGGUAUUUCUUACAAGUUGAAUCACAUAGUAUGUGUUUUUUGGUUCCUGGCCUAUUUCACCUAAUGCUUUCAAGUUUCAUGUAAUACAUGAGAACUUCAUUUCUUAUUAUGACUGAGUAAAUCCAUUUUGUGUAUGUAUCCGUGUGUGUAUAUAUGUGUAUAUAUGAGUGUGUGUGUGUGUACACAUAUAACACCACAUUUUUUAUCCAUCUGCUAAUGGAUAGAAUUUUAAAUCUAUUCCUCUGCUAAUGGACAUUUUGUAUGCCAGUGCUCACCAAAACAUUCACAGUGUCCAUUAAGAGAUGAAUACAUUUAAAAAUAUGUCCAUUAAUAUUUGAGUGAGCAUUGGCAUACAAAUAUCUGAGUUCAUGUCUUCGUAUCUGAUUAUGUUUAUAGGGGAUUGAAAUUGCUGAGUUAUUUGGUAAUUUAAUGAACUCACUUUUUGAGGAAAUAUUUGUUAUUAUGAGAAAUUGAAGUCACCAAAAAUGAGAACUGAAUGAUGAACCUUCUGAUAUCUAGCAACUAGAGUUAAUAACUAUCAACAUUUUGCCAUAUUUUGAAAGUUACAGUUACCAUGGUGAUUUAAUCCUGAAUAGGUUUAUAUUUUUAUGUAUCCAUUUUUAAAAUAAUCGCAAUAUCCUAUCUCUACCUAGUAAAAUUUACUAAAAUCCCUAUGUGUCUUCUAAACACACAAAGAAAACAAUCCUCAUUUAAAUUUCUCAAGGUUGUGCAUGCUGUCUCAAGCCUGCAAUCAUAGCAUUUUUGGAGGCCAAGGCAUUUUGCUUGAGCCCAGGAGUUCCAGAUGAGCAUAGGCAAAUAGUGAAACUUGUCUUCACAGAAAAAAAAAAAAUUAGGUAUGGUGGCAUGCACUUGUGAACCCAAUUAUUUCAGAAGCUGAAGCAGGAGGAUCACUUAAGCAGUGGGCUACAAUCACAACACUGAACUCCAGGCUGGGUAACAGAGUGAAACAUUGGCUCAAAAAAAAAAAAAAAUUCUCAGUUGUGCGAAUGAUAACAACAGUUUUUUGAGCAAAUCUGUAUCCAAGUGAGUAAUUCACUUUUAUCUAGGCUAUUUUUAUGUUAGUCUUGACUGUAUUAAUUUAUUUUCAAUCUUAAAUCUCUCUUAAUUAAGGUAGAAAGUCGACCCUUUUUUGGUUCUAUAUUUAAGUAAUUAAAAAAAAAUCUUGAACUAAAAAAAUUAUUUAGAAGUAACUUUCAUAUUCUACUGAAUUUCUUAUUUGCUGGUUUUUUGGGGGGGAUUGAUUCUACCCUUUAUUUUUAGUAUUCUGAAUGAAUUUUGGUGAGCUCCUGUGGUCCAAAAUAUAUAUUGUGUAUACACCAUACAUAAUCUGAAUUCUUGUAUAACAAAGUACAGUCCAUAUUUGUAAGGGGUGCUUGGAAAGGUAUAUUAGGUAUAUUACCUUACAUGUGUAGAUCUUCGUAAGUAAUAGUUGGCAAGGUCUGCUAUAAACUUGUUACAUAUUUCUAUAUUUGUCAUUAUAAUUAGAGACCUUUUUAGUCUUUGAUGUUAUUUUUCCCAUUAAUUUGAUGUCCUGACCUGGUCAUGCUUUCAGUUUUUCAUGAGAUCACGCUAAUGAAAUUUCUUAAAAGUUUUGCAAAUAUAAUCUGAUAACGUACUUUGAUUUUUUGAAAAAAAGCCAUCUCUUACCCAGUAAAUAUCAACUAAUUGCUGGUUUUCUUUUGUAAUUUCUUCUCAAUGUAUUUUAUAUUAAGGUUUGGAGAUACCAAUCCUUUUAAGCAUAAUCCUCAUGCUAUCUGGUAAAAAUUAUUAACAAUUAAAAAUUACUUAAUGUAUAUUACAAAGGAGAUAGUACCAUCUAUCAAAUAUUUUUGAUAAAUCUUAUUCCACUCUGUCUUAUGUAUGUUUAAAUGAGCACCAGAAGAAUUAUGCAUUACAUUUCAUUUGAUUGGUUAAUCUUUGAGUUCUUGGUUUUUAAUAUUUGUUUCUUGCUGUUUUCUCUUUGAGGAAAUGAAUUAUUUGCCAUAUAAAACUUUUACAUUUCUACAUUGUACCCAUGGUAGGAUGCCACCCCUGUGGUCAUGUUUAAUAGUUUUUUCUCAGUGUUUCAGUGUUUAAUAUUUUCUAUCAUUUUUUUCAAAAAAUAUUAAACAUUGAGAUGAAAGGGAAGGUUAUCAGAGUAUCCUAUUAUAGUGAUUAUAGUGCUCAGAUUCUAGCUCCAUACCUGUUAGAACACAUUCCCAAUUGUCAACUUAAACUAUAUUUGUAUGUAUUGUUUGUCUGCUUGUAUUAAAGGCAAAAGCUCAUUAUCAAUUAGUUGUAUGUUUUAAAGAGUUGACCACAACAUCCAUCAUAAGACCUAUCUAAAGAGGAAUACAUGAUGUCUUAGUACAAAGGAGUAGAGAUACAAUGAAUGUAUUUAUUUUCAUGUUUCUUAAGAGGGAAUGCACUAGCAAUUGACGGUAAAAUAGAUACAAAUCAAGUAAAGAAACCAGUAUAUUUUUAGUCAUUAUGUCACUUUGAAAAACAAUUUGUUUAAUCAUUUUGCGAUAACUGGUUGCUUGGAACUGCCUUAUUUUUUGUAUUCAGUAUAUUUAUUUAUGGGAGUGUAUACAUAUUCCAGGGUGUUCUAGUUCCUCAGGGAAAAUCUGGAUGGUAUUGAAGAGUUUUGUUCUUUAUUAUGAGUCAAUUUAUAAUUUCAUCUUUUUUUUUUUAAAAAAAAGGCAUUUUUCCUACAGCUAGACAUUUUGAUUGUCACUUUUGUUGUGAGAAAAAAAAUUACGAAGACGUAAAGAUUGGGAAUGAGGAAGGUGACUUGAUCGGGUAUCACAGACUUACAAAAUCUUGAGUUAUGUUAAUGGCAUAUUUAUAAGGAAAGUAAUGUCAUCGAAUAGAACACCUUUAUAGCUGAGGUGGUACCAGUUUAAGAAGUGAGAACUUCUUCACUGACUGAAAUUUGCAUAUCAAUCCAAAUCAUUGUGCUUGUUUACUAUUUUUGUAGACGUCAUUCUUCAAAAGUGCUGCAUCUUUCGUAGUCAAGGAGGACAAAGACAUCUUUCCUGCAGGUGGUGACCAUGUGGAUAAUAGGAUUAUAGACAAAUGGUGGUUCCAUCUACAGUGUCACCAAAAUGCUGUUGUUAUUGCUUCUUUCUGGGAUCUUCUUGCAUCUUUGCUUCUCAAGGGGCACAACUUUUAUAGAAGUAUGUCCAGGAAUAGAAGUGACCUGCUUUUUCGCAAGCUUGGCAACUAGUUCAUUGAAACAGAGCCAACAAGAAUGAGUGAGUCACUCGGUGAUAUGAAGCAAGCUGUGGUCAUUUAUCUACUAUCUUCCAUUCCUACUUCCUAGGUUUGAUAAGUAGUAUUUGUAGUAUAGUUGUCAGUAACUUUUCUCAGCUUACAUAAGUUUAUGUGGAAUUCAUUUACAAAUGUGUGAUUAUUACGAUAGAUGUUAUUUUAUAAAUUUCAAGGUUCUUUAAUAUAGCAUGGACAUGUUUCUAAAUCAAUAAAUAUAGCUUACCCACAGACUUUUUAUGGGGUGUAAAGUGUGUGUUACAAUGGGUGAAUCCAUUUCUCUGUUUUGGGAAAGCAGGUUAAUGUUUUGUUUGUUUUGUUGCUACAUAUAAUGUUGCACUAUGUAUAUAUUCUAAUGCAGUUGGUCUCCUAAUUCUACAGGAUAGAUGUCUAGCUGUGGCAUUGUUGGAUCAUCAGUUUCGUUUCAGUUAGAUGCUGUGAAAUUGUUCUUGAAAAUGGUGUCCUCUGCCACCACAGAACGGUGUUGUAAUGGAAGUGCCAAUUUUCAUAAAAACUUGUGUGCAACAGGUAUUAAGAAUUUUUGAGGUCAGGCGCAGUAGCUCACGCCUGUAAUCUCAGCACUUUGGGAGGCCUAGACGGGUGGAUCACCUGAGGUCAGGAGUUCCAGACCAGCCUGACCAACAUGGUGAAAUCCCAUCUCCACUAAAUGCAAAAAAUGAGCAGCUGGGUGUGGUGGCAUACACCUGUAAUCCCAGCUACUUGGGAGGCUAAGACAGGAGAAUCGCUUGAGCCAAGAUUGCACCGCUACACUCCAGCCUGGGUGAUGAGCGAAACUCCAUCUCAAAAAAAAAAAACAAAAAGCUUUAAAUUUUUAGCCAAUCUAAUAGGUGAAAAUGGCAUUUUUAACAUAAGUCUAACUUGAACAAUUAAUGGCCAUGGCUAAAAGAAGAAUCAAAUAAUGAUGUGUGGUUUAUAAGGAAGCAGUACCCCAGUUUUCCUCUGCUCCCCCCAAAAAUCCCAUUUAUCUGAGCAAGAAAUCAUUAAUAUUUUCUAAAUCUGCUUGGAAGUUCAUAAACUCCCUAAGUCUACCUUAUACCAGUGUUUUUCUGACUUUGUAUUUUUGAAAUAAUUUUAGAUUCAGAAUCGCAGGAUUCACACAGAGCAACCUGAUUUACAGUUCACCUAGACUGACUUUUUAUUCUGCAUCGUUGUGUUCUCCCGCCACUUCCUCUUCUUGCUGUCGCCUCCCUUCAUGUGUUUAUACAUACGAUUAUCAUUUUAUGUGCUAUUUGUGAAUGAUUUGCCGACAUUAUCUUCCUGUAACCCAAAACACUUCAACAUCUACUUUCUAAGAGCCUAAGCAUCUUACACUGACUUCGGUAAAAAUUUCAAAAUCAUGAAAUGUGUCAAUAGUAUAAAAGUAUAACAGUAUACAGUCCAUAUUCACAUUUUACCCAUUUUUCCAGAGGUAUUCUUUAUAGCAGUUUCUUCCCUUCUACAACAUCCAGAAAAGGAUCUUCUAUUGCAUUCAGUUAUCAUGUCUCUUUAGUCUUGUUUAAUCUGAAACGGUUUCCUGGACUUUGAUCACAUCAGUAUUCUUAAAAAGUAAUAGCUAACAGAUUUAAGGAGAUACCUCAGAUUUUGAAUUUUGUGUUUCUUCAUGAAAGGGUUUAAGAUACUCAUUUUGAGCAGAAAUAAUUCAGUAUUCUCAGUCUUCCUUAGUGAAUCAUCUCAGGUGACAAAUAAUGUCACUUUGUCUCACUUUGAAUUACUUUGAUCUCUUGGUUCAAUUGGUGUCCACUGGACUUUUCCACUAUAGUUAACAUUCCUUCAUAAUUAAUUUGGAACUAUACAGGUAUUCUAUUUUUCAUCAAACUGUCACUUAGUAGGUUUAAUAUGCACAGGUGACUUUUACCUGAAUCAGUGUUGAUUAGAAAAAAAUCUGUGUUAUUGCUUAGAUGCAUUAUUUAGUGUCUUGUACUGUAAGGAAGAGUUUGUAUAUCAUGGCCUGUCAGAACAGUCCCGCAAUGUGUUUUAUCAACUGAAAAUUCUGAAAGAAAGAAUAAGGUGGUGAUUUAUAUGAGAAUACAGGGAAAGGGUUACCCAAAGAGUCUAAUGAAUUUAUGUCUAAACCAUAGAGUGGAAUAUGAGAGACACACAGAACUCCAGAGUUGUGAUGCAAAUACACUGCACAGUGGAAGGAGAAGAGGAAGUUUUUGGUAAUAGUGUUUCGUCUAAUGUAGCUGUGUAAUGUAUGUGUGCCUUCAUUAUUGGGAGAGUGUUCAGCAGUUCACAUUUGAAUAGACUGUGAAGCAUGAUGCUGGAAUCUGGGUUCAGAUUCUAGAUCUGUAUCCUACAUAUCACCAAUGUUUAUUUCUCAGUUUUUGUUUGUCGUUACUUUAACUCUCUUUAAUGCAUUAGAGUAUCCAAGGUUGACAGUGAAGGGACUGCCUUUGGAAGCUAUAUGAAGACAAAAACUCAGCUUUUUGAAGUUUCUUUCAUAUGUCACCUUACAUGGCCUCUCCCAUUCUCUGUGGAGAAGUUUGUGUAGAUUAUUCAGACUACCGUGCAGUGGCUGUCUUGUUUAAAACCUACACAUAUCCAAACUCUGUUUUGUGUUCUCUGUAACUAGGGCAUUAGUCUCCCAAUAGUAAUCCUGCAUCUUAUGCUAGUUAAAGAAGGUUCCCAGAAUAAAGACAUUCUUACUUUUGAACAAUGACUUGGAUAGAUUGAGGAAGUGGUUUUAAUAAUCACUUUGAUAUAUUUCAAAAUCUGGUUCAUUAUUGGUGAGGUGCAGGCCACCUGGUAUUAAUGAAAAUGUAUAAUUAGGAACCAGUGCAGUGGAAUCAGAGGCUUGAACAUGACCUAAGGCUUGGUCAAAGUGGUGAUCUGAAUGUUCCCUGCUCUCUGUAUAUAACUUUGUACUUAGUCUUCAGUGGCAGGGUUGCAGCAGAGGCCCAGUAAAUAUUGUUCAUUCAAUGUAUGAAGGAGAAAAUGGAAGUAAGGCCAAAAAUUACUGAUUGUAAACAAAUGAAGCACCAAGUGAAUAAAUGUACAAAUAGACAAAUAGACAAAUAGCCAGUAGGAAAAAAAAACAAAACUUGUUACCUAAAGAAUGAAAACCAAGUGGAAAAGGCCGCCAGGGACAUUUUAAUAUGCAUAUUGUUGCUUUCACAUAUAACACAGUAAGGGAGUAUCAGAAAACCUGAAUCUGCCUGAGUAAAACAUACCCCGUUCCACAAAGCUGUAUAUAUGAGAGUAUUGAAGGUGGUUUAAUACCAAAUUCAAAAAUUCAGCCUCAGUGUAGCAAACUUUUAAAUUUUCCAUGAUAUAAAGUAAUUUUUAACAAACAAUGGAAGUCACAGCACUAAAGUACAUUACUAUUAUAUGAUUCUCUGAUGGUAAUAGAAACUGUGCUGCAGGACACGUUUUGAUUCAGGAAGAAAUGUAGAGUAACUCCACAGAGGAAUUCAUCCUCUCUAAGUUUAAAUCUGAAUGGAACCCAUAUGCCCAUACCCUGAAGAUGCAUGUAAGGGAACAACAUGGCUUGGUCUGUUGAAAAAAGAAAAGAACCUUCAAUUAAGCAUCCUGUGAACUUGAUAAGAGGAUGCAGAGGAAAGUAAAUGCGCUCUGCAUAUCUGUGGUUGACCUUGGAACACAGUGAAUGCCCUCUAAAGAAUAGCCCAGUAAGUACUGUAUCAUUCCACCAAUCAAAUUAGAGCCUCUUCCAGUGGGAGCAGAGUGACAUAGACCAAGGAAAGCCAAGGAGAAGAUUGUGGCCUUUUAUUUCUCCUUAUAUUUGUUGAGGUUCACUGCUGACUGAUAAACGAUUUGCACAAAAAAAUUCAGGCCUCUGACUCUUCUGGUAUUUGAUUUAUCUAGUAAAGUUAAUUCCAAGACAAAAGUACAGUUGGUUAAAAAUACCAGUCUCGUGUUUAUUUGAUGGUUUGAAAUAUUCUCUGUUACAUUGUUGUACCUCUUUUGUCACCUUGGAAUAUAUGACAAUCAUGUUAUCUUGAUUUUUUCCACAAGAUAAUUUGAUUCUAAAAUUGAUUCAUUAUUUAUCUUCAGGAAUUAGAGAUUUUAAAAAUGUCAUCUCUCAUGUCUCAUUCAGUCAUUUCCAAGAUUUAGUGAGUGUUCUCCCUAAUGCCUUGAACAAGAAUGCCUUGUUCAACGGCUGUAUUUUACUCAUAAUUAACAUUCCAACUGCUUUGGGUUUUUUUAGAUUUACAAUUUUUAUUUCUGCAGUACUUAACUUUCUAUAUUUUAUAUAUAUUAAAACAAGUUAGGAUAAAGAUCACUGUGGAUGAUAUAAAUACUAAUAGCAAAAGUAGAAAUAAGUUGUAUUAUAUAAGUUGUACAUAGGUGUUACAUUAGGUUGUCUUACAUGAAAGUAUUAAUGAAGUACUGGGAUUUGGGGUGUAUUUUGAAAUCCUUGCCAGUUCUACUUGAUAAAGUAUUGAAUGGUACCAUAUGAGAGGAGAAGAGGACGGAAAGAGGACUUAUGAUUUAGACCUCAACAACUGCUAGGGAGGGUUGGUUUUCUCUGAGUGCAUGAUUUUUAAAAAAAAUGCUAUUUUGCCAGUUUUAGAUCCAUAUUAAAUCCACAGAUUAAGGUUUUGGUUUUUAAAGUGUAAAUAGGAAGCUUGAGCUGGGGGGGAGUUUGGAGAUAGAGAUAAUACUUAAUCGCUGUGGGAAAGGAUGAGAUCUAGAGAUAGAGUGUAUGUGGGAGUAGGAACAUAUGUGUCUGAGACCAUGCUUUGGAUGCUCUAGCAUUUAGAUGUUGAGAAAAUGAGGAAGACCCAUUAAAGGAGAUUGUGGCUAGAGUUACUGGUGAAAACCAAAGGGUUGUAGUGUUCCUGAAGUUACAUGAAGAGUGAGAUUAAAAAUUAAUGAGGCAGCAGUGGCUUUUGCAUGGCAUUGAACAAGAAUGCCUUGUUCAACGGCUGUAUUUUACUCAUAAUUAACAUUCCAACUGCUGGGUUCAAUUUGAAAAUUGAGUAUCAUUGAUCGUAGUGCUCUUAUUAUUGAAAAAGCCAAAUCAAAGAAUACCUUUAUGUUGAUGGUCUGUACUAUAAUUAGGUUACCAUUGUUAGCCCAGCAUAGACACAUGCUGAUACCUGUGAGUUGCUUUCAUCAAUUAGUAUGUGAAGAUGCAUCCCAGUUGUGCAAUUUUAGAUCCUCUUCAUCAUUCCACAUUAUAUGUAUACAAGAUAAAACUUGAUGUUUUCAUUACAUCCUUUCAAUCUUCUAACAGCAAUCCUUAUGUAGCUUUAUCAUUGGAGUUUCCACUUUCAGUGUCUCUAUCUGUACCUGCAUUCAUUGGCCACAGUAGAGUUUUCAUUAAGGCAGGAUUGCAUUUCAUUGAUUUUGGCUGUGUCAGACAUUUAACAAAGAUUGUUGAGGAAAGGAAUGGAUGGAAGGGGCCAGCUGAAAUAAAAAGUAACAACCUAAUGAUGGAUAAGUGAAAAAGGAAUGAAGAAAGGAGGGUGCUAGGAAUCGAGGGAGUAAAGCAAGACAGAAUGUACAAAAGGUCGAAUUUUUAAAGAAAGUUGUAGGGCAAGGGCAAGGUGUGUUAAACCUACAUUUAAAAUACAAUAACAUCACUAAAGUCGAGGCCAGGUGCAGUGGCUCACCCCUGUAAUCCCAGCACUUUGGGAGGCCAAGGUGGGCAGAUCACCUGAGGUCAGAAGUUUGAGACCAUCCUGGCCAACAUGGUAAAACCCCAUCUCUACUAAAAAUACAAAAAUUAGUUGGGCGUGUUGGCAGGCGCUUGUAAUCCCAGUUACUUGGGAGGCUGAGGCAGGAGAAUCGCUUGAACCUGGGAGGCAGAGGCUGCAGUGAGCCGAGAUCAUGUCACUGCACUCCAGCCUGGGCGACAAGAACGAAACUCCGUCUCAAAAAAAAAAAAAACCAAAAAAAAAAACCUAUCACUAAAGUCAGGCAGAAAGUACCAUUGUGGAAGAUGUUCUUUUCCAGCUUAACCUGAAGAAGGUAUUGACCAUACGGUCAAUUGUACAGUCAUUGUACAUUGUCAUUCCCUAACUAAUGGGUUAGAUAUGAGUCUGUAGAAAAUUUUUUGUCCAACAUACUUUAUGCCUCUUAACAUUUCACUUACCAAAUUUCAUUUCAUUCCUUCAUUUUGUGUCCAUCAGACUAGAAAUAAUGAGCUCCUAUUGACAGGGAUAUUUUCCUCUUCAUGCUUUCGUUUACCUUACAGAGCCUUUUAUGUAGCAGAUAUUUAAUUUCAUAAUGGGUCUAAACUACUUGUUUAGACCAUGGAUGAGUGAAAUUUUGAUGAAUGAGCCCCAAUCACCUGAAGGGUGAGUAAAAGAAGAAUUUCUAGAGACCCAAUAUGAGGUAGCUGCUUCACACUUUUUUGAGAAUGUUAUGGCAUGACUGAGGAAAUCAUAGAUUUUGUAGACCAUGUUGAGUUGGAUUGUGUAAAUACAGAUUCUGGUAUUAGGGAACUCAGCAUCUGCUAGAUUAGACUUUUUAUGGUGAAAGUCUGUUUUUAGGGAUUAGGCAUAAAUCCCCAUUGAUAUUUGUGCAGUAAUAGAAUAUAGCUCCUGUUUUCUUUCCUGCUUGCAUAGCCUGUGCCAUUAGUGUCCUCUUUCUCAUUGUUUUCUCAAAGGAAAACAGUCAAAGAGGAAGCCAUACGCAUGGUAGACUUUGUAAUCUGGGAAAAGUCAACAUAUUUCAUAGUAGUGUACUUAUUAUGUGUUGUCAGUCCUUAGAAAGGAUUCAUUUUCUCCAUAUUAUAUACUAUAUUUUAAAAAUUUCUUGGGGGAGAAUGGCUGUAGACAGGCCAAUGAUGGAAUCGUAGAAUAUAGUCACUGUCUAAUUACUUUCAAUCAAGACAGGGAACAAUAAAGUACAAUGUAUGUAGCUGACUUCAGUGUGACCACUCAGUAUUUCUGUAACACAGUAUUUAUAUUGCUGUACAGUAGAGUUAUAUUCAUUUCUGUGAUCCAGUUCAUUUGUUUAAUAUUGGGAUUCAAGGAGUGUUGAAGAAAUUCUACUGAUUAAUAACAGAUGGGAAGAGUGUAUGUGUUUUAAAUAAGAGACCAAGAGAGACAAUAAGGAAAAUAGGAAGGAAGUGUUUGUGAGCCUUUCACAUUACUCUUACAUUCGGGAAGUCCACAAGACACCGUAGUGGAGAUUCUGAGGAGGUGAAAACCUGUAGAAAAAUGCUUUAUCAGUAAGGAGCUGACUAAGUUGUCAGAAAGUGUUGAUUUCUAGAAGGAUAUUGAGACAUUAGGUAUAUAGGGUAUAUGACUCCUUGUCUUCCUUUCAUUCUGGCUUCUUACAAGCUGUUGUGAAUAAGUUUAAGAUUUCUUCUGACAUUAUAAACUUUAGAAAAGGUAUGGCUGUUUGUUCAGUUUGAAGUAGUAUCAUAUCCGCCAAAGCCUUGUUAAAUUGUCUUGUUGAUUCAUGGUUCUCUUCAGUGAUAAUAUUAUAUGGGAUUCCUACCCACAGCCACCCAAUAUCUCAGUGGAGAAAUGCAGGUUUGGAGAGAACAUCUGAAUAGAUUCACGCUAAGAUGGUACAUUUGCGCUGAGACCGUUGUUAUGUGGCAGGCAGACAUGAAGUAUCCUAGGAUUGAUCAAUAUGCCUUAAUGUAAAUAGCUGCAUAUAGACCUGAUUUCUUAGACUCCCCACUUCAAGCUCUUGAAUAUUGUGUUGAUAUCCUUAUCAAUACACUUUGUCUUGUGUUCUGUGUUGAUUUUCCAAAGUAAAUACAACGAGCUCCUACUUGACAGGGAUUUUUUCUUUCUAUUGACUUAGAUAAAAUGUCAAGAUAAAAAUGUAUGAGUUUCAUUAAAGUUUGUUGAAUAAAAUUGGUGAUGGAAUGAGUGAGAGCGAGGUCAUGAAUGAGAGAGAAUAUAGAAAUAAUGGAGAAUGUGAUAUUCUGAUAGUCAUGCAAUAUUCUUUUUGAUAUAAUAUGUAACAUAUAUUACUAUGUUAUAUUCUACAUAUUUGUCAUAUAUAUUACUAUAUCCUGUUGCUAUAUUUGGAUAAUUUGGGAAUCCGCCACGUUUGAUGAUGUUGAAAAGAGAACAUAAAAUGUAGUGAUUUCUUAAUAAGGUGUAGAGGUGUAGGUAUUAACUCUUUAAGAAUAUAGUGAUUUAUUUUAAAAUAAUGAUAGGAAAGGACCAUAAAAAUGUCUGAAUUUGGGAAAUUAGAAAAGGUUUUCUCUCUGGGGCUUUCAUAUGUCUGUUCUAUGUGAAUGUUGUAUAAUUCUCGCUUUGCCACAGCUCCCUCUUUGCUAACCCUUCUUAACCCCUGCAGAGAAGGAAGUGGACUGAUGGUAUUUUAAGUCCAUCUUCAGGUUUAUUGGGAAUGCAAGGGAAAUGAGUUGUUACCAAUGGGAGUAAAGGGCUAGUUGCUAUGCCAGUUGCUACUACUUUUGUUUGACACUGCUUGAGCAAUCUGAAUGGCUAGUUUUGAAUCUGGCUUCUCAGUCAGAAUUUUACCUUCACUCUAACAUUGCUUUUUUUCAAAUCACUUAUAUUUACAUAAAUAUGAACCAACUUCAGUGAUCUUAAUUCUUUCCCGAAGAUCCAAGUUUCUUUCCAUCUGCCUGAAGAACUUUCUUUAGCACUUCUGGUAUAGCAGGCCUACUAAUGAUAAUUUUUCUUUUAGUAUACGGUGAUUAGUUUACUUUUUAUUCAACUGUGUCUUUUUUUGAAGUCUUCUUCAUUGAAAUAUAUUGUUACUAAACAUAGAAUUAAUGGUUUUUUUUCAGCACUUCAAAGAUAAUCCACUGUUUUUUGGACUCCGUUGAUACUUAAAUCUCUAUUUUUGUGUAAUUCUUUCUCUUUAUGUAAAUGUGCCAUUUUUCAUUUUUCUCUGACUCCUACUAAAAUAUUUUUACUUAAGUAUUGAGUCAGUUUUGGUUAUGAUGUGACUCAGUGUGUUUUUAUUUAUAUUGUUUGGUUGUUUGAACUUCUUGAAUCUGUAAAUGUUGUGCUUUAUGUUAAAUUUGGGGGGAUUUCAGCCAUUUAAAAUACAACUUUUCAGUCUCUUCCCCCUGGGACUCCAAUUUUCACAUAUAUAUUUGUAUUAGACCUAUUAAUAUUGUUCUAUGCAUAGCUGACAUUCUUUUUAAAUCUUAUUUUUGGUGUUUUUCACUUUGAACAACCUAAUAAUUUGUUUCCAUCCAUGUUCACUCACUGUUUAUUCUGUUUUUUUCCCAAUCUGCUCUUAAGCCUAUCCUGUGAAUUUUCUUUUUAAUUUAUUUUAUUUUUUAGUUCCAGAUAAUUUCUUUUUUUUAAAAAUGUUAUUAUACUUUAAGUUUUAGGGUACAUGUGCACAAUGUGCAGGUUUGUUACAUAUGUACACAUGUGCCAUGUUGGUGUGUAGUUCCAGAUACUUUCUGCUUUUUGUUUUGUUUUUGAGACAGAAUCUUUCUCUGUCACACAGGGUGGAGUACAGUGUCAUGGUUCACCGCAGCCUUGACCUCCUGGUCUCAAGUGAUCCUCUCACCUUAACCUACCCACUCCUAAGUAGCUAGAACUACAGGUGCAUGCCACCACGCUCAGCUAAUUUUUUAUUUUUGUAGAGAUGGGGUCGUUGUGUUGCCCAAGCUGGUCUUGAACUCCUAGGCUCAAGCAGUCUUCCUGCCUCGGCCUUAUGCCCCCGCCAGCCAGUUCUUUAUUUUUAAUAUUAUGUUGUAUUUGAUGUGCUAUCCUAUUCAUUUAGUAUAAGCACAUUUUUCUUUAUGUCUUCAGCAUAAUUAUAUGCUUUUUCAGAAUUUUAACAUCAGGACUGCUUCCAGAUUAGCUUCAUUGCCCUUUGUCUUAAGUAUGGAUUAUAGUUUUCAUUCUUUGUAUGUCAAGUAAUUUUGGAUUGUAACUUGAACUUUGAAUAUACUGUAGAAACUCUGAAUUCUAUUUUAUUCUUCUAAAACAAUAUUUCUCAGCUUCAGCACUAUUGACAUUUUGAACUGGGUUAUUUUGUUUGUGUUGUUGUGUGUGUUUUGGGAGGGUACUGUUCUAUAUGCAUUGUGGGGUACUGAGUAUUAUCCUUUGUCUCCACUCACUACUUACCAGUAGCAUAACUCUCUCUCCUCCCCGCAUCCCCUGCCAAAAAAUGCCUUCAAUCCUUUCUAAGCGCUCUUUUGUAUGGUGUUGGGGCCAAAAUCAUACAUCCUUACUCAGUCUUUCUCAUUGAGAGCUAUGGCUGUAAAGGGUAGUGAUGCUUUUACAUAUUUAUUUUUAAGGCAAGCCGUUAACUUAGCUGGAUUCAAAUUCCAGGCUGCCUCGUGUGCUGUGGGAAGCAGCCUACACUCUAUUCAGUUCUUUUCUUUUCAUAUUGGUUGGGUUACUUUGAGUCUGGCCUACGUAAUGGGCGGUUUAGAGGUCAACCAAAGGAUUUCAGCAGAACUUAUACACAGAAUUUCAUUCAGGCUUCCCGUGUCUGAUUCUGCACAGUGUGGGAAUUUCCUCCCACUUUUCAGCCACUGUUGAGGAUGGUUUUUGGCAAAAUUCCUUGAAAUUGGAAACUUACAGGGAAAUUCCUUUCCUCCAAGAGUGCACUCUCCUCCAAUGUUGGCUUGCUUUUGGUUGUUCUCCGUGGUUUUAGAUAGCUGUCUUUAUUAUUAAUUCUGGAGUUUACAGUUGAUAUCUGUUGGGGGCUUAGUUUGAUAACACGUAUUUCUCAAUUACUAGUAGCCAGACCUGUAUGUCUUACCUGACCUGAUGGAGAAAAGUUUCAACUUAUGAGACAAUAAUGUGCUAGCUAGUUUUACUGAUUCGUACUCUAAAGUACCCAAGCCUAAAAUAGUAGAGCUGUCUAUCCCACAUGAAACUUCUCUGAUUUUCACUGUUUUUUAUAAAAAGUAUACAUGUUCAGAUUUCUGUAGGUUUUUUUAAGCAUCACAGUUUUUAUAAAUUUUCUGUAUUUCCAAGGUCUACCUGCUUUGUAUUUUGCCUAGCGAGAGUUUUGUAUUCAUGUAGGAAUAAUCUCUUGGUGUGAGUAUCUAUUUUCCACUCAUCCAAAACAGAUAGAGCAUUGAUUUCACUAAGCGUUAUGUUCUAGUUUGCUUUGGUAUUAUUAUUAGAAAUACCUGGUGAUUAAUUUGAGCUAACUAUUCUUCCCUACCCUCAUUCCCAGCAUUAUCACCCACUUUUCCACUUCCAAGGGGUGGAAGCAUUCUCCACAAUGCAUUUAUUCAUGCCAGAGAAAAAUCUAGAAACAAAUGAAUAAAAUGAAGAAAUUCUUUCCCCUUGGUAUCUGUAGCUAACUUGCCUAAGUGUUCUUUCCCACAGUUCAAGUCUUCAGUCCAUAGUUCAUAAGCAAAGGGGUGUAGCGAGCUCUGAUCUUGCCAGAAGAGAGAAUAAGUGAGCUACCCCAUGGUGGACAUUCUGGCCAUCUGAAAUGAGUCGAUGCAUGUGGCUUUUGUCUAAAGGCUACAAAUAAAAUGUAACCACUUUCUUCUUUGAGUAGUUGAUAUAACAAAUAGUUGAAACAGAAGUUUUGAUUGGCAAAUCAGGAUGUGGUAGAUACUUUAACAAAGAUAGAACUAUUACCAGUUUUAUGUGUUGCUGUUUGUAUCUCUUUCAGAGUUUUGUAUAUCACAUCCUGGAAAGUGAAACAGAAAAUUAUUAAUCCAUUUUAAAUGACUAAAUUUGCCUUCAUGGUAUUUACAGUGAAAGAGUAAAUUAGAAAGUGAAUGGAUGACUGUUAAUGAGAAAAAGCAGGGUAAAAAGAUUUUAUUUAAUUAAUUGAAAAUAUUAGGGUCAAAACAUAGGCUUAUGUUAUGUUUUGUGAAUUGUGCUGUGUUGUAGACAUUUGGUGAGUUCUCCUAACAUAGAAUUGAUCUAGCUCUUGAAAUACCAUUUUUGAUUGAAUAUAAAUGGGAUAUAGGCACCUUACAACUUCACAAUUCGAGGAAGAUGAUGUGAAUCUUCCAAUUUUAUCUAUUUGAUUCAAAUGGUGUGUUUUUUCACAUUUCUCAUAAUUUCCACAUGUCAACUCCCAUGAUGAUCAUGCAGGAAAGCAGCAUGAUUGCACUUCUUGUAGUGCAUACCAUCACUAAAACAUAGUUAUUGUUUUUCUAUGGUCUUAAGAUAAAUUCAGAAACAGCAUACCAAUGUACAUAUAAGAUAAAUAAGCUUAUGUGGAACAAUAAGUGUUCUGUUCUGAGAAAUACCUUGAUUCAUAUUCUAAUGUCUGAUGUUAUUGGUAGUUCUCAAACUUCCCCAAUUCUGCUUUCAUCUAAAUUCAUCUUAAUUCAUCUUAUCUAUCUAUUGUUAAGUAAUCUAUCAGUCCAUUUUUAUCUAUCAUCUAUAUAUCUGUCUUUAUCAAUCAUUCGUCUGUAAUCUAUCUGUGCCAUUUGGCAUAAGAGACCGAAGGGCAUAGCAGUGGAAACUCAAAGGAGUUACCUCCAUGUGAAUGGACAGUGGUGAUGGUGAUCUGUGAGGUGGUGAUGUAUAAAAAGAAAAACUAGAAGAGAGCAUGCCCUAACUCAGGGACCUUGUCCAGCAGGCACUCUGGCCUUGUUAUACUGUGCUUGAAUAUGAAAAAAAAAAAUCAAAAUAGUGCUGACAUUCUGUGUCUUCUGGGUCUGAGAAAACUUAGAGUAGAUAUGAUGACUGCCAUUUCAGUCUUUUGUAUUUCCACAUUUUAAAGCUCAGUUUUAAUUAUGUAGAAUUAUUUCUCCAGCCUGUGUUAAACUAGACCAUGGACUGGCAAACGUUUUUUUGUAAAUUGUCAAAUAUGCAUUUUCAGUUCUGAAAGCCUUGUGGUCUUUGUUGCGGCUAAGCUACUCUGCUGUUGUGUUAUGAAAGCAGCCAUAGGUAAUUUAUAAUUGAAUGAGUGCGCUGUGCCUUUCUUCCAAUAAAACUUUACAAAAGCAUCCUGUGGGCUGGAGUUUACCCUUUGGGAAACCAGAGCAUUGGCUAAACUGGAACCUGAAAAAAUAAUCACAUCAACUCAGCCACAUGGUAAUAAUAUUUAGGGUAUUAUUUCAACAUUUUCGUUUUCAUAAAAAUUUUUUUAGCUCUUUUGCCAAAUUCCGUUUGUGAGUGAUUCAGAUGACUACCACGUGCCAUUAACAUCACCUAAACAGUGCAAAACAAGCAUAGUAGAAGGAAUUGGAAUGAUAUAAACCCCUUGCUGUAAUAGUUAUAGUUGAUAAAUUAUGUUUCAAAAUUGAACCUAUUUCUUCCAAAUUUCAUCUAUAAAGUUCCAAGGAAUUCCAAAAUCUUGCCUGCCUUCUUUUCCCAGUUAGCAGUAUUGUCUCUGAGCAGCCAUGGUGGUAUCCAUCCUCCUUGGACAAUGAAUUUAGCCUAUUUUGACUUCAUUUGAGCAGUUGUAAUUGUUUCACCACAUCAGAGUAAGAUUACUACAUGCCAGAGCUAUUCUUUAAUGCAGCUUGUAAAAACAUGAUAGCAUCAACAAUAUACAUAGCAAAUGAAUGCCAUAUUUAAUCCAGUUAAAUGGUUUUUACAGAUUUGCUCGUUUGUUGAUGCUAUCUGCAUUGCAGUAAUUAAAGGUGAGGUAAAAAGAAUGAAUAAACUGCCAAGUUAAAAUUAAAUUUGGGCAGUUUCUCUUUUGCAGUAAUGUAUGUAUAUUUACUCAAAAUAUAUGCCAAAUUUAGUGUUGAAAGGCUCAUUCAAAUCAAUUGGGAAAGCAUGUAAAUGAAAAAUUCAUAAAAGAAAAGCAUUGCAAAUGGCCAAGAGCAUAGAAAAUGUGCUCAAUCUUAUCAGUCAUUAUAAGGAAAUAAUGAAAUUUGUGUCUAUAUGAAAUACUUAAAAUAUAUAUAAAAUAAAACAAUUAUUUGCUUUUUUUCACCUAUCAGAUUAACAGAUUAUAUGUGUUAACAAGGUGGGGAGAAUUUACAACUCCUGAUGUGUUAAAAUCUUUCAGGAAGGUAGUAGAAAAUAUAUGUAAGAUGGAAAUUAGCACUUUUGACCAACAAUUUUAGUUUUAGAUAUUUACCUAUAAGGAUAUAAUAGGAAGUGUUCAAAGAUGCAUGUAACCUUAAGGGUACUCAAUGUAGUGUUAAUUAUAAUUGUAAAAUAGUAAAUAACAUUUUUGUCAAAUCGUAAUGGUAGGAAAAUUAGUGAUGGCACAUUUAACCAAUUGAAUUAUAUUCAGUUAUGAAUACUGUGAUGCAUGUUCAAAUUAAUUGAUACAAAAAUCUAACAACUUUAGCAGUUUGUUUACCAGUUAUUGAGUACCAACUGUGUUCAACAUUGUUAUUUCACUCAUAUGAAAUGAUAAAUGUAUGUGCUUGUUAUGAUACGGUCAAUAAAACCACUUUUAUAGGAAGAAUACUCACAAAAUA
Long non-coding RNA from Pongo pygmaeus (Bornean orangutan), 23971 nucleotides. RefSeq lists it as uncharacterized. Lineage: Eukaryota; Metazoa; Chordata; Mammalia; Primates; Hominidae. The record is from RefSeq and is a predicted model, not a curated record. The transcript has 6 exons.